This 404-nucleotide ribosomal RNA is filed under the name uncultured bacterium. RNAcentral describes it as "partial 16S ribosomal RNA". It matches the Rfam family "Bacterial small subunit ribosomal RNA", at positions 28 to 526 of the family's 1533-position model. The record is from RNAcentral.
GACGAACGCUGGCGGCGUGCCUAAUACAUGCAAGUCGAGCGGCGCGGCGAACGGGUGAGUAACGCGUGAGUAACUGCCCCCCCCCCUGGGAUAACAGUUGGAAACGGCUGCUAAUACCGGAUAGUGGGGGAUGACUCGCGUCCUAUCAGCUUGCUGGUUGUGUAGUGGUCUACCAAGGCGACGACGGGUAGCCGGCCUGCGAGGGCGACGGGCCACAGUGGGCUGGAAUACGGCGCAAACGCCUACGGUGGGCAGCAGUGGGGAGUAUUGCACAAUGGGGGAGAGCGUGAUGGAGCAACGCGCGGGCGGGAUGACGGUCUUCGGGUGGUAAACCGAUUUAAGCCAUGACGCGGUAGUGGCAGAAGAAGCACCGGCUAACUACGUGCCAGCAGCCGCGGUAAUAC